AGAGUUUGAUCAUGGCUCAGAUUGAACGCUGGCGGCAUGCCUUACACAUGCAAGUCGAACGGUAACGCGGGGGCAACCCUGGCGACGAGUGGCGAACGGGUGAGUAAUACAUCGGAACAUAUCCAGUAGCGGGGGAUAACCUAUCGAAAGAUGGACUAAUACCGCAUACGAUCUACGGAUGAAAGCAGGGGACCGCAAGGCCUUGCACUAUUGGAGUGGCCGAUGUCGGAUUAGCUAGUUGAUGGGGUAAAAGCUUACCAAGGCGACGAUCCGUAGCUGGUCUGAGAGGACGAUCAGCCACACUGGAACUGAGACACGGUCCAGACUCCUACGGGAGGCAGCAGUGGGGAAUUUUUGGACAAUGGGCGCAAGCCUGAUCCAGCCAUGCCGCGUGAGUGAAGAAGGCCCUCGGGUUGUAAAGCUCUUUCGGUGAAGACGAAACGGUUCAUGCUAAUAACGUGAACUAAUGACGGUACUCACAGAAGAAGCACCGGCUAACUACGUGCCAGCAGCCGCGGUAAUACGUAGGGUGCAGGCGUUAAUCGGAAUUACUGGGCGUAAAGCGUGCGCAGGCGGUUUGCUAAGACAGGUGUGAAAUCCCCGGGCUUAACCUGGGAAUUGCGCUUGUAACUGGCAAGCUAGAGUGUGGCAGAGGGGGGUGGAAUUCCACGUGUAGCAGUGAAAUGCGUAGAUAUGUGGAGGAACACCGAUGGCGAAGGCAGCCCCCUGGGUUAACACUGACGCUCAUGCACGAAAGCGUGGGGAGCAAACAGGAUUAGAUACCCUGGUAGUCCACGCCCUAAACUAUGUCAACUAGUUGUCGGGGAAGAAAUUCCUUGGUAACGAAGCUAACGCGUGAAGUUGACCGCCUGGGGAGUACGGCCGCAAGGUUAAAACUCAAAGGAAUUGACGGGGACCCGCACAAGCGGUGGAUUAUGUGGAUUAAUUCGAUGCAACGCGAAAAACCUUACCUACCCUUGACAUGCUAGGAAGCCCGCAGAGAUGUGGGUGUGCCCGAAAGGGAACCUAGACACAGGUGCUGCAUGGCUGUCGUCAGCUCGUGUCGUGAGAUGUUGGGUUAAGUCCCGCAACGAGCGCAACCCUUGCCAUUAGUUGCUACAUUCAGUUGGGCACUCUAAUGGGACCGCCGGUGACAAACCGGAGGAAGGUGGGGAUGACGUCAAGUCCUCAUGGCCCUUAUGGGUAGGGCUUCACACGUAAUACAAUGGUCGGUACAGAGGGCUGCCAACCCGCAAGGGGGAGCUAAUCCCAGAAAGCCGAUCGUAGUCCGGAUUGUAGUCUGCAACUCGACUGCAUGAAGCCGGAAUCGCUAGUAAUCGCGGAUCAGCAUGUCGCGGUGAAUACGUUCCCGGGUCUUGUACACACCGCCCGUCACACCAUGGGAGUGGGUUCCACCAGAAGUAGUUAGCCUAACCGCAAGGAGGGCGAUUACCACGGUGAGAUUCAUGACUGGGGUGAAGUCGUAACAAGGUA
This 1494-nucleotide ribosomal RNA is filed under the name metagenome. RNAcentral's name for it is "bacterial SSU rRNA". It matches the Rfam family "Bacterial small subunit ribosomal RNA". The record is from RNAcentral.